GAAACAAUCUAUUGAAUGGAAUUUUCAGUCAUGCAUAUACAAUGAAGCAAUGAUCUCUGAUGUUAUUGCUCCAUCACCAUGGAAGAUUUAUAGUUGCCACAAUGGACUAAGGAUCUUCACAGAAGCACCAGAUUGGGGUUUCCAUGGAAGAAAUUCGGGAUAUCACCCAGUAAUGAUGGCAGUGAGUGUGAUUGAGGGAACUUCAGAAGACAUUUUCCAAACUCUUAUGUCUCUACGGCCCUCAAGAUCAGAAUGGGACUUCUGUACACACCAAGGUAGUGUGAUAGAUCACAUUGAUGAUCAUACUGAUAUAAUUCAUGUGAAGUUGUACAAUGAUCGGUUACCUAGGGGAAUGAAACCACGAGAUUUUGUGUUGCAAAG
RNAcentral lists this small RNA (381 nucleotides) under Vigna angularis var. angularis. RNAcentral describes it as "Non-protein coding transcript". Lineage: Eukaryota; Viridiplantae; Streptophyta; Magnoliopsida; Fabales; Fabaceae. The record is from RNAcentral.